RNAcentral lists this ribosomal RNA (605 nucleotides) under Halobacillus sp. RNAcentral describes it as "bacterial SSU rRNA". It matches the Rfam family "Bacterial small subunit ribosomal RNA", at positions 57 to 645 of the family's 1533-position model. Lineage: Bacteria; Bacillati; Bacillota; Bacilli; Caryophanales; Bacillaceae. The record is from RNAcentral.
GCGAGCUGAUCCCCUUCGGGGGUGAUGCUCGUGGAACGAGCGGCGGACGGGUGAGUAACACGUGGGUAACCUGCCUGUAAGAUCGGAAUAACUCCGGGAAACCGGAGCUAAUGCCGGGUAAUACUUUCUUUCGCAUGAAGGAAAGUUGAAAGAUGGCUUCUUGCUAUCACUUACAGAUGGACCCGCGGCGCAUUAGCUAGUUGGUGAGGUAACGGCUCACCAAGGCGACGAUGCGUAGCCGACCUGAGAGGGUGAUCGGCCACACUGGGACUGAGACACGGCCCAGACUCCUACGGGAGGCAGCAGUAGGGAAUCUUCCGCAAUGGACGAAAGUCUGACGGAGCAACGCCGCGUGAACGAUGAAGGUCUUCGGAUCGUAAAGUUCUGUUGUUAGGGAAGAACAAGUACCGUUCGAAUAGGGCGGUACCUUGACGGUACCUAACGAGGAAGCCCCGGCUAACUACGUGCCAGCAGCCGCGGUAAUACGUAGGGGGCAAGCGUUGUCCGGAAUUAUUGGGCGUAAAGCGCUCGCAGGCGGUUCCUUAAGUCUGAUGUGAAAGCCCACGGCUCAACCGUGGAGGGUCAUUGGAAACUGGGGAACUUGA